AUACGUAGGGGGCAAGCGUUAUCCGGAUUUACUGGGUGUAAAGGGAGCGUAGACGGCAAAGCAAGUCUGAAGUGAAAGCCCCGGGCUCAACCCGGGAAUUGCUUUGGAAACUAUUUAGCUGGAGUGCAGGAGAGGUAAGCGGAAUUCCUAGUGUAGCGGUGAAAUGCGUAGAUAUUAGGAGGAACACCGGCGGCGAAGGCGGCUUACUGGACUGUAACUGACGUUGAGGCUCGAAAGCGUGGGGAGCAAACAGGAUUAGAUACCCUGGUAGUCCACGCCGUAAACGAUGAUUACUAGGUGUUGGUUGUCAUAGACAAUCGGUGCCGCAGCAAACGCAAUAAGUAAUCCACCUGGGGAGUACGUUCGCAAGAAUGAAACUCAAAGGAAUUGACGGGG
Molecule: ribosomal RNA, 396 nt
Filed under: uncultured bacterium
Lineage: Bacteria
Description: partial 16S ribosomal RNA
Rfam family: Bacterial small subunit ribosomal RNA
Source: RNAcentral